Molecule: long non-coding RNA, 617 nt
Organism: Triticum dicoccoides
Lineage: Eukaryota; Viridiplantae; Streptophyta; Magnoliopsida; Poales; Poaceae
Exons: 2
Source: RefSeq, a predicted model, not a curated record
AGGAAUCGCCGAACUGCCGUCCUGAUACGGCGGGAUACGGGGAUACGGCGGGAUACGGCGGGAUACGCGAAUUUUGGAGUAUCCCCGAAAUUCGAAUUAAAAAAAAGAAAAAACAACUGGGAUACGCCGGGAUACGCGGGGACACGUUAGGGAUACGGCCUGGCCCAAAAACACACCCCCGGCCCAGCCACGGCCCAAUAUGUAACCCUAUUUUGCAGGGUCUCCAUACGAGCUGCUCCCUGCCUCCCAGCUCGAACAGAAGGAGCCGCCACCUUCUGGAUCGAAGUUCCCACCACCUGGACUCGCCGCCGCCGGCGCCGGCGACUCCUCCAUCCAGCACCAGCACCAGCAGUCUCUCUCUCUCCUCGCCUCCUCAGCUCCUCGCAGCUGUAGCCUGUAGCAACUAGCAAGUGGCAUGGCAUCUGGGAGCGCCACAGCUGGUAGCCAAUUUGUGUUUGAUGUGUUUUGCAAGAUGCAACUUGCAAUGAGAUGGGGGGAUGAGGAUCGAUCAAGCACUUGCUAAAAGAGACACCAAAUGGGGCAGUACUCUAGUCUAUUCUUUAUUUUGAUCUAUUUCUCUUUAAUUUUCUGUCUUAACUCUAUAUUACAUGGCAUAU